This 127-nucleotide ribosomal RNA is filed under the name Enterococcus faecium. Its description in RNAcentral is "partial 16S ribosomal RNA". It matches the Rfam family "Bacterial small subunit ribosomal RNA", at positions 1415 to 1533 of the family's 1533-position model. RNAcentral also lists the same sequence under 1 other name. The record is from RNAcentral. Lineage: Bacteria; Bacillati; Bacillota; Bacilli; Lactobacillales; Enterococcaceae.
UAACACCCGAAGUCGGUGAGGUAACCUUUUGGAGCCAGCCGCCUAAGGUGGGAUAGAUGAUUGGGGUGAAGUCGUAACAAGGUAGCCGUAUCGGAAGGUGCGGCUGGAUCACCUCCUUUCUAAGGAA